RNAcentral lists this ribosomal RNA (253 nucleotides) under uncultured bacterium. RNAcentral describes it as "partial 16S ribosomal RNA". It matches the Rfam family "Bacterial small subunit ribosomal RNA", at positions 524 to 776 of the family's 1533-position model. The record is from RNAcentral.
UACAGAGGUGGCAAGCGUUGUUCGGAAUUACUGGGCGUAAAGCGCACGUAGGCGGCUUUGUAAGUUAGUGGUGAAAGCCCGGAGCUCAACUCCGGAAUUGCCUUUAAGACUGCAUCGCUAGAAUUGUGGAGAGGUGAGUGGAAUUCCGAGUGUAGAGGUGAAAUUCGUAGAUAUUCGGAAGAACACCAGUGGCGAAGGCGACUCACUGGACACAUAUUGACGCUGAGGUGCGAAAGCGUGGAGAGCAAACAGG